Molecule: ribosomal RNA, 207 nt
Filed under: uncultured bacterium
Lineage: Bacteria
Description: partial 16S ribosomal RNA
Rfam family: Bacterial small subunit ribosomal RNA
Source: RNAcentral
CACGUAGGCGGCUUUCUAAGUCGGGGGUGAAAUCCUGGAGCUCAACUCCAGAACUGCCUUCGAUACUGGAAAGCUCGAGUCCGGGGGAGGUGAGUGGAACUGCGAGUGUAGAGGUGAAAUUCGUAGAUAUUCGCAAGAACACCAGUGGCGAAGGCGGCUCACUGGCCCGGUACUGACGCUGAGGUGCGAAAGCGUGGGGAGCAAACA